Molecule: ribosomal RNA, 255 nt
Filed under: uncultured bacterium
Lineage: Bacteria
Description: partial 16S ribosomal RNA
Rfam family: Bacterial small subunit ribosomal RNA
Source: RNAcentral
UACGAAGGGGGCUAGCGUUGCUCGGAAUUACUGGGCGUAAAGGGCGCGUAGGCGGACAGUUAAGUCAGAGGUGAAAGCCCAGGGCUCAACCCUGGAAUUGCCUUUGAUACUGGCUGUCUUGAGUAUGGGAGAGGUGAGUGGAACUCCGAGUGUAGAGGUGAAAUUCGUAGAUAUUCGGAAGAACACCAGUGGCGAAGGCGACUCACUGGCCCAUUACUGACGCUGAGGCGCGAAAAGCGUGGGGAGCAAACAGGG